This 545-nucleotide ribosomal RNA is filed under the name uncultured bacterium. RNAcentral describes it as "bacterial SSU rRNA". It matches the Rfam family "Bacterial small subunit ribosomal RNA", at positions 772 to 1308 of the family's 1533-position model. The record is from RNAcentral.
ACCCAAUAGAUACCCGGGUAGUCCACGCCCUAAACGAUGUAUACUCGACAUCAGCGAUGCACUGUUGGUGUCUAAAGCGAAAGCGUUAAGUAUACCACCUGGGAAGUACGACCGCAAGGUUGAAACUCAAAGGAAUUGGCGGGGGUCCGCACAAGCGGUGGAGCAUGUGGUUUAAAAUUCGAUGAUACGCGAGGAACCUUACCUGGGCUAGAAUGCUGGUGGACGAAUCCUGAAACGGGGUUUUUGUAGCAAUACACCGCCAGUAAGGUGCUGCAUGGUUGUCGUCAGCUCGUGCCGUGAGGUGUUGGGUUAAGUCCCGCAACGAGCGCAACCCCGUAUCUUUAGUUGCCAGCGAGUAAUGUCGGGGACUCUAAAGAGACUGCCUGUGUAAACCAGAGAGGAAGGAGGGGUAUGACGUCAAAUCAUCAUGGCCUUUAUGCCCAGGGUCUACACACGUGCUACAAUGGUAGGUACAGAGGGCAGCCAACUGGCGACAGUGAGCGAAUCCCGAAAAAACCCGUAUCUCAGUUCGGAUUGAAGUCUGC